GCCGUCUUGGUGCAGAAUGGUAUUGCAGCGGUCUUGAAAACCGUGGUCCGCAAGGGCAUGUGGGUUCGAAUCCCUCAGACGGCG
RNAcentral lists this transfer RNA (84 nucleotides) under Ruminococcus sp. AF14-5. RNAcentral describes it as "tRNA-Ser". It matches the Rfam family "tRNA". From Rfam's summary of the family: Transfer RNA (tRNA) molecules are approximately 80 nucleotides in length. RNAcentral also lists the same sequence under 1 other name. The record is from RNAcentral. Lineage: Bacteria; Bacillati; Bacillota; Clostridia; Eubacteriales; Oscillospiraceae.